This is a long non-coding RNA of Chinchilla lanigera (long-tailed chinchilla), 967 nucleotides long. RefSeq lists it as uncharacterized. The record is from RefSeq and is a predicted model, not a curated record. The transcript has 4 exons. NCBI's taxonomy places the organism in Eukaryota, Metazoa, Chordata, Mammalia, Rodentia, Chinchillidae.
UAAUCACGUGUGUCACGUUUCCAAAGGUAGUCACUGUGCCUCGGUGCUGGGCUGGGUCCAAUCUUGUUUCCUAGACGCUUGUUUGCGGCGCCACCUGCUGGCAAGAGCUGGAAGUUCAGCAGUCCAGUCAUCACGGGACUCCUUUGGUUCGACCUUCAGGUGUCCUAGAAGGAGCCCUGACGGGUGUCUGGAGGCUCCAGCGCUGUGAGGAAACACUUCUGUUGCUGAGGCCGGCCAGCCUGUGUGCGUUAGGUCAAUUCUGGCAAAUUACUACGGUGCUCAGAGCCCUCCUUAAUGACAGCAUUUCCCCUGGAGCCAGCGAAGAAGGUUUCAAGAAAGAAGCCGCAGGCAGGCACCUGUGAUGCUGAGCUACAUCCCCAGCCCAGGAGCAGGAUUUGAACAAUGUGCCCAGCUGCAAAGUCUGCAGUUUGAUGCAAAAUGAAAGUUGCACCUGGGGCUUGGACUACUUCUCCUUGCGACAUCCUCCUCGUCUCAUCCUGUGCCUCCUUCAGUGUGGGACAAGAACCUAAUCCCCAGGCGAUGGCAUGGAGCUGACACACACCAGGAAAUCUUUUCUGAGUUAAAUUCCAACAGCCACACGUGUGUGAGCCGGCCGUCGGAAGAGUCUCUCCCAGGAACGCUAAUUGGUCCCUUUGGGGAUGAAAUUGGCCUCCUUCGCCCGUACAGCGCGGCAAGUUCAUCAGAGGCCGGGAAAUGAUUUUCUCACCCAGAUGCUCCUGCUGGCCUCCAGGUGGCGAUGCUGCUUUGUCAACCUCCAGAGAGCCUGGAGCUGGCCCAGGCGAGUCUGAAAUUGAGGUGAAACAGAUGUGGAGGAGGGUCAAACUGGGCGUGGAGGGACUGAAAACUGGGAGACACACACUCAGCUUUGUGGGUGGCAGACACGGAGGCACAGCCUCAUAUGCUAGGUGUCCAGACACAGGCUUUAUUUUUAUUUAUGUCAUUUUGG